UGGCACAAACUCCACAGUAGUUACGCACCA
RNAcentral lists this non-coding RNA (30 nucleotides) under Rattus norvegicus (Norway rat). The record is from RNAcentral. Lineage: Eukaryota; Metazoa; Chordata; Mammalia; Rodentia; Muridae.